AGCAGCCGCGGUAAUUCCAGCUCCAAUAGCGUAUAUUAAAGUUGUUGCAGUUAAAAAGCUCGUAGUUGAAUUUCGGAAUCUGUCCGUUGGUCGGGCUUAAUUGUCCGUACUAAUGUGAUGGGUUCUUACCUUCUGAAUAACCAGCAUGCCAUUAAUUUAGUGUGUUGGGGAAGCAGGACUAUUACCUUGAAAAAAUUAGAGUGCUCAAAGCAGGCUAGUGCCUGAAUACAUUAGCAUGGAAUAAUAAAAUAGGACGGCAUGGUUCUAUUUUGUUGGUUUCUAGGAUCACCGUAAUGAUUAAUAGGGAUAGUUGGGGGCAUUAGUAUUCAAUUGUCAGAGGUGAAAUUCUUGGAUUUAUUGAAGACUAACUUCUGCGAAAGCAUUUGCCAAGGAUGUUUUCAUUAAUCAAGAACGAAAGUUAGGGGAUCGAAGACGAUCAGAUACCGUCGUAGUCUUAACCAUAAACUAUGCCGACUAGGGAUCGGACGAUGUUAAUUUAUAAUGACUCGUUCGGCGCCUU
RNAcentral lists this ribosomal RNA (520 nucleotides) under uncultured Glomeromycotina. Its description in RNAcentral is "SSU rRNA". It matches the Rfam family "Eukaryotic small subunit ribosomal RNA", at positions 569 to 1089 of the family's 1831-position model. The record is from RNAcentral. Lineage: Eukaryota; Fungi; Glomeromycota.